UACUAAUGCACUUUAUUUCAUAUAACAAUCAAAUACAUGUUUAUUUGUGAUAAAGGUUUAUCUAAUAUUAUAAUUUAGUUUCCUGGUAAGUACGAUAACUUGGGAAGGUUUCAGUUUUCUUUUCUUAUGUCAUCGAAAUUGUAAAAAUCAUCACACUCAGCAAGUCUGGUUACUCCAUCCUUAAUUAGACAGUUUCAGUUGACAAAC
Long non-coding RNA from Limulus polyphemus (Atlantic horseshoe crab), 207 nucleotides. RefSeq lists it as uncharacterized. The record is from RefSeq and is a predicted model, not a curated record. The transcript is spliced from 4 exons. NCBI's taxonomy places the organism in Eukaryota, Metazoa, Arthropoda, Merostomata, Xiphosura, Limulidae.